Molecule: ribosomal RNA, 301 nt
Filed under: uncultured bacterium
Lineage: Bacteria
Description: partial 16S ribosomal RNA
Rfam family: Bacterial small subunit ribosomal RNA
Source: RNAcentral
CAGCCGCCGCGGGAAUACAGAGGGUGCGAGCGUUGUUCGGAAUUACUGGGCGUAAAGCGCACGUAGGCGGACAUUUAAGUCAGGGGUGAAAUCCCGGGGCUCAACCCCGGAACUGCCUUUGAUACUGGGUGUCUUGAGUGUGGAAGAGGUCAGUGGAAUUGCGAGUGUAGAGGUGAAAUUCGUAGAUAUUCGCAGGAACACCAGUGGCGAAGGCGGCUGACUGGUCCACAACUGACGCUGAGGUGCGAAAGCGUGGGGAGCAAACAGGAUUAGAUACCCCGGUAGUCCCUGUCUCUUAUAC